Molecule: ribosomal RNA, 419 nt
Filed under: uncultured eukaryote
Lineage: Eukaryota
Description: SSU rRNA
Rfam family: Eukaryotic small subunit ribosomal RNA
Source: RNAcentral
CAAUAGCGUAUAUUAAAGUUGUUGCGGUUAAAAAAGCUCGUAGUUGGAUUUCUGCCUGAGGCAGCCGGUCCGCACUUAGUGCGUGUAUCUGGUUUGGUUUGGGCAUCCUCUUGGGGAUCGUUGCUGUGCUUGUUGCAUGGUGCGAAUCAAGACGUUACUUUGGGAAAAUUUAGAGUGGUUUACGGCAAGCUAUCGCUUUGAAUACAUUAGCAUGGAAUAAUAAUAUAGGGCGUAAGUUCUAUCUUGUUGGUUUCUAGAACAUACGCAAUGAUUAAUGGGACAAUUGGGGGCAUUCGUAUUAACGCGUCAGAGGUGGAAUUCUUAGAUUGCGUUACGACGAACUACUGCGAAAGCAUUUGCCAAGGAUGUUUUCAUUGAUCAAGAACGAAAGUAUGGGGAUCGAAGACGAUUAGAUACCG